RNAcentral lists this ribosomal RNA (312 nucleotides) under Triticum aestivum (bread wheat). RNAcentral's name for it is "partial small subunit ribosomal RNA". The record is from RNAcentral. Lineage: Eukaryota; Viridiplantae; Streptophyta; Magnoliopsida; Poales; Poaceae.
GUGGAUGACAUACUUUUGAUGGGAAAUGAUAUAGAACUCUUGGACAGCAUCAAGGCCUACUUGAAUAAAAGUUUUUCAAUGAAGGACCUUGGAGAAGCUGCUUAUAUAUUAGGCAUCAAAAUCUAUAGAGAUAGAUCGAGACGCCUCAUAGGUCUUUCACAAAGCACAUACUUUGAUAAGAUAUUGAAGAAGUUCAAUAUGGAUCAAUCCAAGAAGGGGUUCUUGCCUGUGUUACAAGGUAUGAAAUUGAGCUCAGCUCAAUGUCCGACCACGGCAGAAGAUAUAGAAGAGAUGAGCAUCAUCCCCUAUGCC